CCAAAAGGUUACAGGGAGCAGUGCCAACCUGCGUACGCUAAGGGAAAGAUAAAAACACGUAUGUACACGCCUACAAAAUAGUAAAUAGAGUAAAUUUGACCAUUUCAAUGCUGUUCUGAUGACUGGCCGCAAAAAGUGCUGAGUGGCAGACCGCAGUUGCAUGUGAACACACAGAGCAUCAGCAGGCUUCGUCUAAAGUUGACAGGACGCCAUGGAUAAACUACCCAGCAUCCCCUCUGAGGAGCCCAGGCUGAAGAGAGACUUUGACCAGAUGGUGUUCAUCAACAGAAACCUGACGCUGGAAAACAUCCGAUGCUAUGGAUUUGACAUGGACUACACGAUGGCCAUGUAUAAGUCUCCUGACUAUGAGAGUUUGGGCUUUGAGCUCUUAAGAGACAGAAUGGUGUCUGUCGGAUACCCUCAUGAGCUUCUGCGCUACACAUACGACCCCAGCUUCCCCACUCGCGGUUUAGUGAUCGACACCAAAUACGGGAACCUCCUGAAGGUGGACUCCAACGGGAAUAUUUUAGUCUGCAGUCAUGGCUUCACCUUCCUCAAUGGAGAAGACAUUCAAAAAUACUACCCCAACAAGUUCAUCCAAAGAGACGACACCGACCGUUUCUACAUCCUCAACACUCUGUUCAACCUCUCAGAGACUUACUUCUACACCUGCCUUGUGGACUUCUUCACCAGAUGCUCCAGAUACACAAACCUUGAGAAAGGUUUCCAGCACGGCGACUUGUUUAUGUCCUACAGAAGCAUGUUCCAGGAUCUUCGAGACGCGAUGGACUUCAUUCAUGAUACGGGAGCCCUGAAGGGAUGCACUGUCAAGAAUCUGGAGAAAUAUGUUAUCAAAGAUCCAAAUCUCCCUGCACUCUUAACCCGACUCAAAGUGACGGCCAAGGUCUUCCUCGCCACCAACAGUGACUACAGCUACACUAAGGCUAUUAUGAAAUACCUGCUUGAAAGUAAUGUUAAGUCUGGAAAUGAAAAGGAGUCAUGGCGCUCGUACUUUGACCUCAUCGUGGUGGACACUAAAAAGCCUCUGUUCUUUGGAGAGGGGACAGUGCUGAGACAAGUGGACACGAACACAGGAAAGCUUCGGAUCGGGACGUACACCGGAGACCUCCAACAUGGAACAGUGUACUCCGGAGGCUCUUCAGACCUCAUCAGCGACCUGCUGGAGGUCAAAGGUAAAGACAUCCUUUACGUUGGCGACCACAUCUUUGGCGACAUCCUGAAAUCUAAGAAGCGUCAGGGCUGGAAGACGUUCCUGGUCGUACCGGAGCUCAACAAAGAGCUGCUCAUCUGGGACAAGAAGCAGAGUAUGUUUGAAGAGCUGAAACGUCUCGACUUCUUCUUAGCUGAGCUCUACAAGUUGUCUGCAGGCAUCUGGACAGCGGCAGUCAGGAGUGUCCUGACAUCAUUGCCAUUCAGACCAGAAUGAAAGUGCUGACUCACAGGAUGGACAUGUCCUACGGUCAAAUGGGCAGCCUCCUGCGCAGCGGCUCCAGACAGACGCUGUUUGCCAGCCAGAUGCUACGUUACGCAGAUCUUUACUCUGCCACCUGCCUCAACCUGCUGCACUACCCCUUCAACUACCAUUUCAUGGCCCCCCCAGUCCUGAUGCCCCAUGAAUCUGUGUUGCAACAAUCGACUGAUUUCGCUUCAACGGAGCUCACCGUCACCAACAACAUUGUCAAGAUGACCAGAAACUAAGGAGCUAAGAACAGCUGUGAUGUUUCAGAAGAAGAUAUACAGAGAAUAUCGUGUCUCUGCAUGUCAUGGACACAGAGUGACUGUUUGCACCUGAGCUUGUAUAAAGAGUUUGAUGCAGCCUUGAAGUGACUCAAAGAAAACUAACUUAUUGCCCCCCCUAGUGGAUAUGAAGUGCUAUGCAACAAGCUCUUAGCAGACUCAGGGUUCUGACUGUUUGUGUGUUUGUUUGUAUACUAUUAUGUAUGUACAUACAUGUAGUGUUGCAUCUGCACUUUUUAUUUGUGUCAUUAUUUGUAAUAAGUAUCUUUAUUUAUGUUUUGUUUGUGAAACUUCGGCUGAGCCAUUUCAAUAAAUCGUUUAUAUCAUUUGU
Molecule: RNA transcript, 2089 nt
Organism: Notothenia coriiceps (black rockcod)
Lineage: Eukaryota; Metazoa; Chordata; Actinopteri; Perciformes; Nototheniidae
Gene: nt5c2l1
Gene name: 5'-nucleotidase, cytosolic II, like 1
Exons: 18
Source: RefSeq, a predicted model, not a curated record